AGUGGGAGCGAGCCUGCUCGCGAUGAGGCCGUCACAUUCAACGUUGAUGUUGAAUGACAGGCCGCUAUCGCGAGCAGGCUCGCUCCCACA
This 90-nucleotide unclassified non-coding RNA is filed under the name Pseudomonas mandelii. Lineage: Bacteria; Pseudomonadati; Pseudomonadota; Gammaproteobacteria; Pseudomonadales; Pseudomonadaceae. The record is from RNAcentral.